This is a long non-coding RNA of Cygnus olor (mute swan), 5984 nucleotides long. RefSeq lists it as uncharacterized. The record is from RefSeq and is a predicted model, not a curated record. NCBI's taxonomy places the organism in Eukaryota, Metazoa, Chordata, Aves, Anseriformes, Anatidae. The transcript is spliced from 4 exons.
GGCACAGGGCACGGAGGCGUCGAGCGGGGCGAAGGCGGUGCUCGGUGGCCGCUCAGGGACAAGCCUCGCGCACACAGGUGGCAGGAGCUGCUGUGGGUGUGGUACGGCGCUGAGGAUCAGCCCAUCAAAAGUACUGCCGUAUGCCUUCUUUGCAAGAGCAAGCAGAAUGGAAGACUGGACUAGAAAUGAGAGCUCUCCAAGCACAUUUGAGCCACGACAUGAACUUUACCACAUACUCAAUGUAGGACCGUGAAAACGUGUGGAAGAUGGAAGUGACUGGAAAUGCCAUGAGGAGGAUGCCACUCAGGAUGCUGCUCAGUGCCACCACUUGGCCGGGAAUGCUCCUGGGAACCAUAUCUCCGUAGCCUACCGUGGUCAUGGUGAUGACAGCCCACCAGUAGCACGCGGGGAUGCUGGUAAACUCCUGCGAGUCCGCCAUCUCGUUCUCGAUGACAUACAGGAGCGGUGCAAACAGUGCAAUGGCCACACAGAGGAAGAGCAGCAGGAGACCAAACUCCCGGGUGCACCUGCGAGCAGUCAGCCCCAGCGUCUGCAGCCCUAGGGAGUGUCUGGCCAGCCGCAUGACAUAAAGAAUCCUCAAGGCACGGAGUAUACGGAGGACCAGACCUACUUUGUCCAGAUACCUCCUUUUACAACACCAGUCCAAGUUGUCUUCCUCAAUUCCCCAGUAGAGCAGCUCCUCUUGGAAAGACAACGCACACAUCUCCCGCAGGAGCCGAAGUUUUCCAACCCGCAAAAAGGUCAGGAUUGUCCUGAAUGCUCCUGGGUUGCGGUCGAAAAAGAAUUCAUUACAUGUCACAUCGUAAUCAUCACAGAUGUUUAGAAUGUCAUCAAAAUUGUUGCAGAAUUUUAGUUGUCCCAAACGUGUCAAUGGGAAUUCAUCAAGCGUGGUCCAUGGGAGCAAAUACUUAAUGCCCCCUACGUUAUAAUAAUAUGAUGCUUCCGAUCAUCAGGGUGAAACCCUUUCAGGAGAUCCUCUUCAGGGUGAAUUAGCUUGGCUCUUUGGUAAAAGACUCCCUUAAGGGUUUCUGUUUCUGGAAAGAAUGUGUGGUUGAAGGAAGUAUCUGAAGCACAGCUCAGGGCACUAUAGUCAUAAUCAGAAUUUUCUCCAGGUAGAAGAGUCAUCUUGGAAGAUAACUUCACAUCACAUCACUUCGCUACUUCUGCAAGUGUCUUCUGGAACGAAAAACAGAUAUACGGGUUUAGUGAGUGAGGCGUUGUUUUCGAGUUUGGAACAAAUGUAGUGACUGAGGCUCAGAAACGUUUAUGGUUGAUAAAAUAAUUGGAAAGAAAUCAGCAGUGGCUGAGUAUGGUCAGAAAAGCUUUCUGGUGAGGCUCUUUUUGCCCAGUCAGGUAGAACUGACUCUAUUUACUGACACUGGUGAACUUUUGUCUCAAAUGCUGAGGUUUCAGUUCCCAGUGGGUACAGAGGGAAACCAGGAAUAAUUCCUGCAUGUGGCAGGAUAUUCCAGCUUCAGAAAGGAAGUGUCAAACUUAUGAUAGUAUCACGUAGGAACACAGAAUUCAAGUGUAUUUUUUAGAAAAGGAAAUUAUGUCUUUUUUAUUUAACAAUUACAUGUUAAAAUCUUUAUUAUUUUAGUUCCCAUUAAGUAUAUAGAAAAAUCAGAAGUCAAUUAUGCUGUAAUUAACUAAAUACUUCUGAAAAACAGUUAGCAUCAGACUAAUUUCUAAAAGGCCAUAUGGAAACAGCUUUGGAAAAAACACUUCUAUUGACAAUCACAUAAAGUCUUUGUAUAGAGUUUACACAUUUAAUGACAUGGCAACUCCCCUUUUACAGUCUCAUUCAUGAAAGAUUGUUAAGAAAUACUUGGUUUCUACACAAAAAUUGGAAUAUUAUUUCAAUUACAAUUGGCAACCUAUACACAGCAAUAGGUCUUUGUUCUAACAUUGAAUAGUAGCUGAGAACCAAGGUGAAUACCUUCAGCUGUGAUUCUAAGAAACCAAAAAAUUCUUAAGAUGACUUUGAAAAUCAGAUUAAAAUUCUGCUCACACAAAACUAGUAUGAAGUUGGUGGAAUGCACGGACCACAAAGUUCAAAUCAGUAUGAAAAACAGGUACUGGAAAUGUUAAAAGGUUUUGCCUCCCUAAUUCACUGCAAUUUAAAAGUCAGUCUGAAAGUCUGCUCUUGCUCGGGAGAAUUGUACAGUACUGCUUCUAGGUCUUCCAUCCCCACAGUCAGCUACAGCUUAAUGCACAAUGUUUAAUCGUUAAGCACAGAACUCUUAUUUUCAGAAGCUGGGGUUUGUAAACCACAUCAGUAACAUUACAUAACUGUUAUAGAAGAAAAACAAACAAACAUGAAUACACUACAGCUGCACUUCAGUUUAAGAGCAACAGGCUUUCUUUGCUGCAUGGGGGCUUAAAAUAAUAUUUUCAAUAAAACUGUCUCAGUCCUGCUCCCAAACUUCCCAAAAUUACUCUAAAUGAAGCAGUACCUUACAUACUCUUACAAACAGCUGAGCUUUGGAUGGAGUGAUAGUUUUUGAUUUUUUAAUGUGUAUACUCUUUAGUACAAAAAGAAAUCAUUCAUUUACUUACCUUUAGGGCCUGUGGUAGGACUGUGGAAAAAGAAAGCCUACGGGAAUAUACAAGAAUGGACAAGGCAUGAUUCAGACCUUUCAUGAGCUGUGGUACCAUUUUCUGGCCCUUUUGGCAGAGGUAAGCUUUGGCAUCUUGCUCCUAUCCCAAAGUGGGAUCUCUAUUGCUAUUGCUAGUGAUUUGAGAGCGGCUGUUUGGAGGGUUAACCCAUUCUCUGCUAAAAUCUUAACUAUGUUCAGCUUUCAGUACCUUAUCACUACAUACUUUCUUGUAUUGCUGAGUGGCUCUGUCUUUCCUCCAGAAUUAUGACUCUUGGGAAUCCCCAUGGCAGGCAAUGGGCAAUUCUAAAACUUCCAAAGGAGUUUUAGAAAAGGAGGAUGUAAUAAACUCAAGUAAACUUCUAGUUGAUUUCAGUUUAUGUCUUGUCUCAAGAAAGACUAAGUGAAGGCGUACUGAUCUGCAAGUCCUGUUUUCUGAAAGAACAUUAACACAAAAUGUAAUCAUACUAAAGAGUCUCUGUCUAGAGAACUCCAGCCAACACUGGGAUUAUCAGCGGAGCAUCACGACAAACAGUGGCACUCUGCCACUGCCCACUGCUAAAGCUGCAGGGCUCAGAUAAAUGAAUGGAUCUGAGGAGAAUGACAGCUGGCUCACAUAGUGCUAGCUAGAGCACGUUGAACAGUGCAAGUAAGGAGCAGUUGAGCUUGUAAUUACCCUGACUUACAGUCCUAUCCCAUGAAGCACUCCUAGUGACCUAAGAGCUGGUCUUCUAUUAAAGCAUGCCCAUCUGCAGAAAUACUGCCACUGUGAGCUCAAGCUGUAGGUGGGAAAACGGGGCUACCUGAGGUAUGGUUACGUAGGACCCUUCUCCUUAAGAGUAACUGUUUUUUUUUUAGAAACAAGUUUUUUCCCGUCUGCCUCAACUAUGUCUAAGGCUGGGCUUGCCUAAAGAGAAUAAAGAUUAUGAUUAAUGGAAGACUGUGGAAAAAUUGGGAGCUAAGUUAACCGCUUUCCCUUCUGUAAUACCAGAUGAUGUUGGUUAGCAACAAUUUAUCCUCUGAAUCUCAGCCAGGAAAAAUGAGGCAGCUCAUCUCUGUGACUGGUUUGAUCUCCCACCACAUCCAUUGUUGACACAAUGGAAAGAAAUGGGGAGAGGGAAAUGUAAAUGUUCGUGUGUGUCAGACACACGCUGUAACCCUGAGGCAUCAGCUGUGAAACAACAGAGCAAAGAAAAAAUAAUUUUUCUUCACUUCCAGCUUCUCGACCUGUGCGAGACAAUAAAUUGGACAAAUUAAUCCCUGUGUAACACACAGUGACUGCAGUUAUAAAAGGUGGUUCCUUCUAUUUCCAUAACCAGAAGUGGCAAGCCCACAGAUUCCAUGUAGGCAGCUUUGGUAUUUCAUGCUGUACAUGUGUUAUUACGUGAUUUUUUACCUCCGAUACACAAAGCUUCAUAUCUAAGAGGGAAGAAUAGGAGAAAAUAAGGGACAAUAGAAAAGAUGGUCUGAAUUGAAGGAAAAGAGAAAGGUGAAAAAUAAAGCCAUGCGCUUCUUUGCAUGUUUCUUCAUUGGAAGGCACCUCUACAGAAUGAUGAUCAGCACUACUUUAAGAAGGGAGCUAUCUGAAGAAUAGAAAGGGUUUUUUUGUUAGUGAGCUUGCAAAAAGAGCAACCUACUUUACUCGUGCAUUGCAGACUGAUGACAUUGGGGAUAGGUGUAAGAAAUGCAUUGAGGAGUGCGUUACUGGAAUAUAAAGUCAGAAAAACACAUUAGCCUACAGCAACCAUUUUCACAACACUUAAACAAGAUGAACUUCAAGGAUGUACUAUAACAGUAAAAUCCUCCUUCAGAUAAAACUGCUCUGGUUAAGUAGGGCCCAGUGAUAAAAUCCCUACACAUCUGAGAUAGCAUUCUGCCCUUUGAAUGCUUGGGAGUUUGUGGAGUCCAGUUCUUACCAGCACCCUCGCUCAUCAUGUGUGCUUGUUUUUGAUAAAUCACUUCUCUCUGAGCUUCUUUACUUUUGUUUGUAAGCUUACCAGGGCAAGAACUGACUCUUACCACAUUAUACAGUCCUGGUUGUAGUUCUGGCUUCUAGAAACCAUGGUAAUACAGAAUAACUGUCCCAUAGCAAGAGCUCUUGGUGACUCUAAAUGGUGUGUUGUGCAUAUGAAUCAAGAUGUAACAUCUUUUCAAAAAUCUCUCUUGCACAAGAUGAUAUUCUGAUCCAUUAUGUCUGGUGAAGAAAUUGAAUUAGAAAUCUGUACUGCCCUUACUUUCAGCACAAAUUCAGGAAGGGUGCCAGACUCCUAGACAAUGGGGAAAGAAUUAUUAAAGAUGCCCUUCUGAGGUAAAGAAAUAAAAAUCCAAAGUAACAUGCUAAAAUUCCACUUCAAGUUCUGUUCUCCCCCCCUCCAGCAUCCUCUGCAGUAUUUUGAAUUCUGCAGUGCAUCUCUGAUGUAAUCAGAGCUCCUGCAAGGAGUCCUGAUACUGCUCUGUGAUGCAGACAAUUCAAAGUUGUGCCUAGGUGAUAACAAGCAUGCAAGGAAGAUGCGUAACUCCCCCCUAGACUCUUCUGUCAAUUCCAGUGCCUGGAACUGAUCUCUGCUGCCUUUUACCAUUUGGAAAUUUAGCAAAAAAAAGUUUCAGUGCAGGGUGAAUGUGAAUACAGUGACUUGUCUGAAAGGAUUCUGUAAGAAACGGUCUUGCAGGUUAGUGAUCCUCCAUGCUUUACAGUUUCCUUAGUUAAAAUAGGCAGUGUUAAAUGCAGCUCUCUUCUGACACUUGAUUUCCAUCCUGUAUUGCCACUGUCAGAGUCCCCCCUGCAAUACUUCAAGCUAUACUCAUACGGUUCUCUAGGUAGUAACAACAAAUCUCAAACUUUAGCUCUGCUUGCAAAGUGAACCUCCAGCCAAAUCGAAGUAAAACUUACAGAGGUCAAUGUAUAGCAUAAACCAAAAUCAUCCUGAAAAACACAGAAUCUCAAAAAAAAAAUCACAUCUGCAUACUGCUCUCCUGGAUCUGGUCAGUGUUACGCUUUAGGGCAUCUUUUGACAUCCUACAAACUGAAUGAUGACAAACAUGUUACCCGGUGUUUUGCUUUAUACAGCUGAGCCUUAUUCUGCCGACAACAUUCAGAAGUGAAAUAACUUUGCUAGAUAACUUAUAUCCCCAGGAGAAUGUUUUGAAAUACAUUAUAGCUAAUAACUACGGUAGUUUGCUUACACUGAAAUAUAUUUUUAAGCAAUUUUAGCAAGUCACAUUGAAAACAGUCUUUUAAACAUCUUGCUAUAAAGUAAAGGAUUUGUCAUGUAUUUGCAUAUAUCCGUAUUUUGCCACUGAAAUGAAGGUAGUCAUUGAGCAGAUAUUUUACGAAUGCUUUCUCUGCCCCCCCAAAUCUUUUCCAAC